AAUUAGUGGUUGUUGCAGUGUGUGAUGGAGAAUUGCCCACGUUGCAAAUGUGAUGAAUCAUGUGCUUGAGAGUUCUUUUGCAAUCAAUUUUAAUUUUACAAGUAUUUGAAAAUAAAUUGAAAAUCUUGCUCUUUCUCACAUAUUUCUCUCUAACUCUUAUCUUAUUUUAUGGCGAUUUUGCGAGGGAAAUUGAAGAACACCACAAGCAUCAAAUGAAGAAGACGAAGACACGUAAUUCCAACAAAAAGUUUGAUGCCAGAGAGAAAAGAGUAGCUAAAAAUAAUCGAAAGCGAAACACCUUCAAGACGACGCCUGUAGCAAUUUCAUCGUUAACGGCAAGCGAAACGAAAGUGAGAUGGCAGAAGACAAUGGCUGAAACUAAGAAUAAAGUUUAUAGGGAGAGAGAGAGUUAUCAUAGAGGAGUCUACAGGGAGGGAGGGAGAGAGCAAUGAAUUCUUACGCACAAAAAAUGUGGAAGAAGGAAAGUGAGAUCUUAGGGGCAAUUUAGGAAUAAUGAUUAAAUCAUUUAUGAUUUGCAGUUUUUGUAAAAUCAUGUAACAAAGUUCAAAAAUAUUGGAGCCUUUCCAAAAGUAAAAAAUAAAAAAAAAAAUAUUCUAAACAGUAAAACUAGCGAAUUUAAAAACGGA
Molecule: long non-coding RNA, 647 nt
Organism: Cucumis sativus (cucumber)
Lineage: Eukaryota; Viridiplantae; Streptophyta; Magnoliopsida; Cucurbitales; Cucurbitaceae
Exons: 2
Source: RefSeq, a predicted model, not a curated record